Non-coding RNA from Monodelphis domestica (gray short-tailed opossum), 132 nucleotides. NCBI's taxonomy places the organism in Eukaryota, Metazoa, Chordata, Mammalia, Didelphimorphia, Didelphidae. The record is from Ensembl.
UGGACAUUAGUUUUAUUUCAGUUUCUCCUUCAUGUGGAGAUUACUGAUCCCAAGUGUCCUAUAUAAAUACAGAAGCUAUCUGUUCACUCUUGGAAAGUAAACAAGAGUUGGAUCGUUCCACUUCUGACAAAU